GUCUACGGCCAUAUCACGUUAAAAACACCGGUUCUCGUCCGAUCACCGAAGUUAAGCAACGUCGUGCCCGGUUAGUACUUGGAUGGGUGACCGCCUGGGAAUACCGGGUGCUGUAGGCU
RNAcentral lists this ribosomal RNA (119 nucleotides) under Helobdella robusta. Lineage: Eukaryota; Metazoa; Annelida; Clitellata; Rhynchobdellida; Glossiphoniidae. The record is from RNAcentral.